This 420-nucleotide ribosomal RNA is filed under the name uncultured bacterium. RNAcentral's name for it is "bacterial SSU rRNA". It matches the Rfam family "Bacterial small subunit ribosomal RNA", at positions 356 to 773 of the family's 1533-position model. The record is from RNAcentral.
GAGGAAUAUUGGACAAUGGGUGGAAGCCUGAUCCAGCCAUCCCGCGUGUAGGAUGACGGCCUUAUGGGUUGUAAACUACUUUUAUCUGGGGAUAAACCUGCUCUCGUGAGAGUAGCUGAAGGUACCAGAAGAAUAAGCACCGGCUAACUCCGUGCCAGCAGCCGCGGUAAUACGGAGGGUGCAAGCGUUAUCCGGAUUUAUUGGGUUUAAAGGGUCCGUAGGCGGACUAAUAAGUCAGUGGUGAAAGCCCAUCGCUUAACGAUGGAACUGCCAUUGAUACUGUUAGUCUUGAGUGAUGUUGAAGUGGCUGGAAUGUGUAGUGUAGCGGUGAAAUGCUUAGAUAUUACGCAGAACACCAAUUGCGAAGGCAGGUCACUAAGUAUCAACUGACGCUGAUGGACGAAAGCGUGGGGAGCGAAC